RNAcentral lists this ribosomal RNA (253 nucleotides) under uncultured bacterium. RNAcentral describes it as "partial 16S ribosomal RNA". It matches the Rfam family "Bacterial small subunit ribosomal RNA", at positions 524 to 776 of the family's 1533-position model. The record is from RNAcentral.
UACGGGGGGGGCAAGCGUUGUUCGGAAUUACUGGGCGUAAAGGGCUCGUAGGCGGCCAACUAAGUCAGACGUGAAAUCCCUCGGCUUAACCGGGGAACUGCCUCUGAUACUGGAUGGCUUGAGAUUGGGAGAGGGAUGCGGAAUUCCAGGUGUAGCGGUGAAAUGCGUAGAUAUCUGGAGGAACACCGGUGGCGAAGGCGGCAUCCUGGACCAACACUGACGCUGAGGAGCGAAAGCGUGGGGAGCGAACAGG